GGCAGAAGCGCCUGGUUUUGUACCGGGAAGAGCUUCUUCCAUUCCAAAGAACAUUGCCGUCGUCCUCAUGUCCCUUCAUCCUGGAGAAUUUGCCGCGUUCGUGUGGCAAAUGAAGCCGCCUUUGGGCAGCACGGGCUUGCCCGCCGAGGCCGAGAGGUCGCAGGUGGGGCCGGUAGCUCAGGUGGUUAGAGCGUACGCCUGAUAAGCGUAAGGUCGGAGGUUCGAGUCCUCCUCGGCCCACCAUAUGGACGCGCUGUUUGGACCGUGAUGCAAGUCAUCGGUUCAGGCGAUCAUGGUUGGGGGCCUUAGCUCAGCUGGGAGAGCACCUGCUUUGCAAGCAGGGGGUCAUCGGUUCGAUCCCGAUAGGCUCCACCAUUUCGAACUCCAGAGAUGAAGACAACAUAUUCCGCCGUGCCUUUGGGCAUGGGUGGUGUGCAGACCGGAGAAGGUCUGUUCUUUGACAUUGUGAAUGGGUUUUUUAAUCGAUGCCGUGGUUGCAUCGUGUCGAUCUCGCAAGGGAGCGGUGCGUUGCCAAUCACACAUUCAUUUCAAAUGACUAUUUGGCAUUUCAAAAUGAAUAUCUGGCUGAGAAUAAUCAUCCACACCGAACAAGCCGUGGCAGCAUGCCGAGAGGUUUGGGGAGUGGUUGCGUAGUGACAAGACUGCGCAUCCUUGCUUCCAUGCCAGUGCUGACA
Molecule: transfer RNA, 695 nt
Filed under: Sphingomonas sp. SLAU-2
Lineage: Bacteria; Pseudomonadati; Pseudomonadota; Alphaproteobacteria; Sphingomonadales; Sphingomonadaceae
Description: partial contains 16S ribosomal RNA, 16S-23S ribosomal RNA intergenic spacer, and 23S ribosomal RNA
Rfam family: tRNA (bases 167-240)
Source: RNAcentral